UGCUUUUUCCUAAUAACAAUAUUCCUUCAUCAACUGAUAACAAUAGUGUGCAAUCCUGCACUCUCAAAAGACCACUCAAAACAAAUAAUUUCCAUCCAACACCAGAAUUAACAUACUUCACUCCAACCAAUUUGAAUUCACAUAAUUUUUGUAAUCACAGACUUCUGUCCAAAACACAAACAACUCUCAAUAAACAACAAUCAUAAUCUUCCAAUAACUCCUCAUAUAAUUUAAUCAAUUAGUACUCCAAUUACAUAAUCAAUAACUCAUAAAUCAAUCUCUAAUUUAUUCUACACACUCACUUUUCAGUAUUAAAAAACUAUCCAUUAUUUUUCAACAACAAAGAAAAACAAAGAGGUAGCACCAAGCUUAACCCCGGUUCAUGACUAUCACAAUCUGGUACUCAGACUAAUUUCUACAACUCCUAUAUACUUACUCUCUAUUCUCAAAUUCUAAGUAUAAUUCUUUAAUUAAC
RNAcentral lists this long non-coding RNA (475 nucleotides) under Physcomitrium patens. Its description in RNAcentral is "long non-coding RNA (PPAT_LNC002749)". Lineage: Eukaryota; Viridiplantae; Streptophyta; Bryopsida; Funariales; Funariaceae. The record is from RNAcentral.